UACGUAGGGUGCAAGCGUUGUCCGGAAUUAUUGGGCGUAAAGAGCUCGUAGGCGGUUUGUCGCGUCUGCUGUGAAAACCGGAGGCUCAACCUCCGGCCUGCAGUGGGUACGGGCAGACUAGAGUGCGGUAGGGGAGAUUGGAAUUCCUGGUGUAGCGGUGGAAUGCGCAGAUAUCAGGAGGAACACCGAUGGCGAAGGCAGAUCUCUGGGCCUUACCUGACGCUCAGGUGCGAAAGCUAGGGGAGCGAACAGG
Molecule: ribosomal RNA, 253 nt
Filed under: uncultured bacterium
Lineage: Bacteria
Description: partial 16S ribosomal RNA
Rfam family: Bacterial small subunit ribosomal RNA
Source: RNAcentral